GGCGGGGACGGCGCCGCUCAGGGCUGGACCCCCGACCCCGCCGGCCCCCUCAGGCCCGCCCGGCACCCAAAGCAGUCGGCCUGGCGGCCGCUCCCCACAACCUGGGCUUCUCGUCCUCGGAUGCGCCUCCAGCGUAGGGGCCUUCGGUAGGGGUCGGGGCCGUCCGCUAGGGGGACACGAUCUGCCUACGAGGCUGUACCCCUCAGCGGUCGGCCAGCGCCUCGGGAGCCUCUCCACUUAGAUCUGCACGUAGUGGGGCCUAGUACAGGCUAAGUGAAAGGAAGCAGGGGUGGUGUGGGCCUGGCACUCAGGUGCGCCCUAAAUGUUUGGUCAUUGCUGGAUAUGAGGACAUUCACUCAGGCCUGGAGGUACAGGGCACUCUGACGUGUUGCCUCUGGAGUAAUAAAAGGGACUCGCCGCCAACGGAGUUGGAGGACUGGCAAUCGGUGCUUCGCAGGGGUAGACUGAGAGAUUUCUUAUGGUUACUGGCGAAGCUAUGACUAUGCAGGGUGAGAACUCGGAGAGGCACGCGGAAGGCCAGGAGGGUGACCCGCAGGACCUUCCAAGAACUCGGAGUCCCUGGAAAUGGGGUCUGUAGCAUUAAGGUCCGGGUGUGGGAACACGGAGGCGUUGGUGAUCGGCAGUGAGCACCCACUGCCAACUCUGGAGAAAUUCCUUUUGAAGAACCAAGAAAGGGGUGCCUGUUUGCAAGAGGGCUGGAACUAGCAUUCAGCUGGGGCUUGCUGUGCACCAGGCACUGAGCUGAGUUGAACACUUGGAUCUCCUGUGGUCCCUCUGACUGGCUGAACGCAAGAACAAGUGAGCCCAGAUGAUGCUGCCCUUCAAGAUCAGCCUCUGGAAGUAAAGAAGAGAAUAGAGAAGGGCAAAGGCAGCUGUUGUAGAUGCUGGCAGGAAAGGUAGGAAUAGGGCCUGAAAAAAGUCCUUUUGGGUAUGAUGUCAGCACAAUAUAGUAAUAAACAACUCCUCUGGGCCAGGUAUUUUCUAUAAGACUAUGUUAUCCCCAAUUUACAGAGGAGGAAACUGAGGUUCAGAGAAGUGAAGUCAUCUGCCCAAGGUCACGCUGCUAGUAAAGGCCAGAGCCAGGAUUUGAACCCAGUCAUAUGACUGCAAAAUACCAAAGCUUGCCUACCCCUACACCAGAGACAAGCAGAAAAGUUGGCCCUGUGGGGGAGAAAGGAUACUUCUGUCAACACAGAGGAAUGAAGAAAGGGCUGGAAGGGAUGUGUGCAUUUAUGAUUUGUGUUUAUCUGUUACUUAGAAUUAUUCUCCUUCCCGCUUACAUAUAUAAGCAAAUGGACUUUUAAAGCUGACAUGAUUGAGAAAGCCUAACUUUACAUAGAAGAAAAUUCAAGCCGAAGAACCGAGCUGACCUUUCUGUAGUCAGAGAAUGAAUUGGAUGUGGUCAAGAAAGUUACAGCUGAAGAUUCAAGACAAUUGUGUGGCCAAUUGAUUCACCCAGCCCUCUAUCCACAUAGUUGCUUCAUGGAAGAAUUAAU
Molecule: long non-coding RNA, 1517 nt
Organism: Cynocephalus volans (Philippine flying lemur)
Lineage: Eukaryota; Metazoa; Chordata; Mammalia; Dermoptera; Cynocephalidae
Exons: 3
Source: RefSeq, a predicted model, not a curated record